GCCCUCGGUGGCUCAGAUGGAUAGAGCGUCUGCCAUGUAAGCAGGGGAUCCCGGGUUCGAGUCCCGGUCGGGGCA
RNAcentral lists this transfer RNA (75 nucleotides) under Schistocerca americana (American grasshopper). Its description in RNAcentral is "tRNA-Thr". It matches the Rfam family "tRNA". Rfam says of the family: Transfer RNA (tRNA) molecules are approximately 80 nucleotides in length. Their secondary structure includes four short double-helical elements and three loops (D, anti-codon, and T loops). The record is from RNAcentral. RNAcentral also lists the same sequence under 2 other names. Lineage: Eukaryota; Metazoa; Arthropoda; Insecta; Orthoptera; Acrididae.